This 505-nucleotide ribosomal RNA is filed under the name uncultured bacterium. RNAcentral's name for it is "partial 16S ribosomal RNA". It matches the Rfam family "Bacterial small subunit ribosomal RNA", at positions 28 to 507 of the family's 1533-position model. The record is from RNAcentral.
GACGAACGCUGGCGGCGUGCCUAAUACAUGCAAGUAGAACGCACAGUUUAUACCGUAGCUUGCUACACCAUAGACUGUGAGUUGCGAACGGGUGAGUAACGCGUAGGUAACCUGCCUGGUAGCGGGGGAUAACUAUUGGAAACGAUAGCUAAUACCGCAUAAUAUUGAUUAUUGCAUGAUAAUUGAUUGAAAGAUGCUAUUGCAUCACUACCAGAUGGACCUGCGUUGUAUUAGCUAGUAGGUGAGGUAACGGCUCACCUAGGCGACGAUACAUAGCCGACCUGGGAGGGUGAUCGGCCACACUGGGACUGGGACACGGCCCAGAUUCCUACGGGAGGCAGCAGAAGGGAAUCUUCGGCAAUGGACGAAAGUCUGACCGAGCAACGCCGCGUGAGUGAAGAAGGUUUUCGGAUCGUAAAGCUCUGUUGUAAGAGAAGAACGGGUGUGAGAGUGGAAAGUUCACACUGUGACGGUAUCUUACCAGAAAGGGACGGCUAACUACGUG